RNAcentral lists this ribosomal RNA (433 nucleotides) under uncultured bacterium. RNAcentral describes it as "partial 16S ribosomal RNA". It matches the Rfam family "Bacterial small subunit ribosomal RNA", at positions 29 to 507 of the family's 1533-position model. The record is from RNAcentral.
AACGAACGCUGGCGGCAUGCCUAACACAUGCAAGUCGAACGAGACCUUCGGGUCUAGUGGCGCACGGGUGCGUAACGCGUGGGAACCUGCCCUUAGGUUCGGAAUAACCCCCCGAAAGGGGUGCUAAUACCGGAUAAUUCCUUCGGACCAAAGAUUUAUCGCCUUUGGAUGGGCCCGCGUUGGAUUAGCUAGUUGGUAGGGUAAAAGCCUACCAAGGCGACGAUCCAUAGCUGGUCUGAGAGGAUGAUCAGCCACACUGGGACUGAGACACGGCCCAGACUCCUACGGGAGGCAGCAGUGGGGAAUAUUGGACAAUGGGCGAAAGCCUGAUCCAGCAAUGCCGCGUGAGUGAUGAAGGCCUUAGGGUUGUAAAGCUCUUUUACCCGGGAUGAUAAUGACAGUACCGGGAGAAUAAGCUCCGGCUAACUCCGUG